UUUUUAUAGAAAUAAUUAUAAAUAAAACCUGCUCCAUGAUAUUUUCAACAGCCGCAGAAAUUAUAUCUGUGCUAAGGUAGCAUAAUCAUUAGUCUUUUAAUUAAAGACCAGUAUGAAAGGUUUAACAUUUAAAUAACUAUUUCUAUUCAAUAUUAUCGAAUUUAUACUAAUCAUAAAAAUAUUAUUAUAAAAUAAAAAGACGACAAGACCCUGUCAAACUUAACUUUAGUUAAACUGGGGCAGUUAAUUAAAUAUAAUUUUAAUUUUUUUUAAAAAAAAAUAACUAAUAAUAAUUAAAUCUUAAACAAGUUACUGUAGGGAUAACAGCGCAAUAAUUUUUAAAAGUUCAUAUUAAAAAAAAAGAUUACGACCUCGAUGUUGAAUUAAUUUUCUUUAAAAAGCAAAAAUUUUUAAUAAAGAAGGUCUGUUCGACCUUUAAAUAGUUACA
RNAcentral lists this ribosomal RNA (448 nucleotides) under Malkara sp. LB-2014d. RNAcentral's name for it is "partial 16S ribosomal RNA". It matches the Rfam family "Bacterial large subunit ribosomal RNA", at positions 1826 to 2600 of the family's 2925-position model. The record is from RNAcentral. Lineage: Eukaryota; Metazoa; Arthropoda; Arachnida; Araneae; Malkaridae.